GAUGAACGCUGGCGGCGUGCCUAAUACAUGCAAGUCGAGCGAACAGACGAGGAGCUUGCUCCUCUGACGUUAGCGGCGGACGGGUGAGUAACACGUGGAUAACCUACCUAUAAGACUGGGAUAACUUCGGGAAACCGGAGCUAAUACCGGAUAAUAUAUUGAACCGCAUGGUUCAAUAGUGAAAGACGGUUUUGCUGUCACUUAUAGAUGGAUCCGCGCCGCAUUAGCUAGUUGGUAAGGUAACGGCUUACCAAGGCAACGAUGCGUAGCCGACCUGAGAGGGUGAUCGGCCACACUGGAACUGAGACACGGUCCAGACUCCUACGGGAGGCAGCAGUAGGGAAUCUUCCGCAAUGGGCGAAAGCCUGACGGAGCAACGCCGCGUGUGUGAUGAAGGUCUUCGGAUCGUAAAACUCUGUUAUUAGGGAAGAACAAAUGUGUAAGUAACUAUGCACGUCUCGACGGUACCUAAUCAGAAAGCCACGGCUAACUACGUG
RNAcentral lists this ribosomal RNA (497 nucleotides) under uncultured bacterium. RNAcentral's name for it is "partial 16S ribosomal RNA". It matches the Rfam family "Bacterial small subunit ribosomal RNA", at positions 28 to 507 of the family's 1533-position model. The record is from RNAcentral.